Molecule: long non-coding RNA, 3893 nt
Filed under: Canis lupus familiaris (dog)
Lineage: Eukaryota; Metazoa; Chordata; Mammalia; Carnivora; Canidae
Description: lncRNA (ENSCAFG00000050314.1)
Source: RNAcentral
UCACUCAUCAGCUGAAGUAAUCUUUUUAGAAUAUAAACUUCACAUUGUAUUACCAUACUCUCUCCCAACUCUUCCCUAGUUUUAAAACCUCUGGUGUCUUCUGCUGCCCUUAGGAGAAGAUUUAUUGACUCAUUAACCCAACCAAUAAGGUCCUAUUAGCUAGCCCUGCCUUACUCCUUGGCCCUAUGUAAUACCACACUACAGACUCAGCACACUCCAGCACAACAAAGUUUCUCUCCUCAAACACACGAAGGCUGUUUUUACCUCAGAGCCUUUGCACUAGCCGUCCCCCUCUGUCUGGAACAUUCUUCUGGUUUUCACUGGAUUGGCUCCUUCUUGUCAUUCAGGUGUCAGCUGAAGUUGCCCCUUUUCAGUGGCCUUCAAUAAGUACCUCCCCAGUAUUUUGUAAAACAUCAAUUUUUGCUUCUUCAAAGCCAUUAUUAUUAUCAAAAUUACCUCAUUCAUUUACGCAUUGUGUGUCAAUCUUCACUAGAGUGUAAGCUCUAAGAGAGGAGGGACCUUGCUUGUCCUCUAAUAUCCCUGCUGUUUAUGUAGUACCUGACACCAGUCUGUGCCAGUCUAGAUAGCUGUAGAAUAAAUUAAUCAUUUUCCAGGCAGAACUCAAGAUAGAACAAAAAGCCUUGGGUUUUGUGAGUCUUACAAAUUAGUGGUGCAUGAUACAUAUUCACAUGCAAGGUUUCACUUUUUCUACUUUGGCCAUUUUUUCUCUCUCUUUUCUCUUUCUUCAGAAUGAACGUCUCUAUGUUCCCAUCUCUAAACAGGCUUCACAAAGCCAUACUUUAUCCUUCUUGUCUCUUGACAUCACCCAGAGAUCCUUUUCUGAAGAAGAGUAAUUCUAACAUGCUGUGGUCCAUAAAGCUGUUUCUUAUUAUAUUAAAUUAAAGGGCUUCCUGAUCACUGGUCUAAGGCUUGUCUAGUUUUCUUUUAAUAGAUGUUCCACUGUUGUUACAAAUAGUGUAAUUUUGUAUAGAUUCUCCUUUGGAGUUUCUGAAUUUCUUGAUCUUAAUUUGUCUUCUUUGACUUCUUUUGUGAUAAAGAAUCUUUUUGAUACUUUUCCUCUUACUAUACUUUAAACAGAAAGAAAUCAAAUAUUUAAGUUACAGUGGAUGCCACACAUUCAUUGUGUGUGUAUGUGCAUGUAUAAGUAUAUGUAACUAUUGCUUUCGUUCCAUGAAAGGAAGGUAUAUGCAAAAUGGCCUGCAAAUGCCGAAGGAGCCAUAAGACCAAAGAGAAAGGCCAGCAAGUCCAGCUUGGUGAGAAAUGCUUUAUUAAGGGGAUUCAUGGACAGAAGCCUGACUUGGGUGACCACAGAGGAGUAGAUCUCCACAAUUCCACCUCCCUUAAGACAUGUUUUUAUAGCCCUAGAGACUGGGAAUACUGGGAAUACCACUCAAGAGGAGAAUCUUUAAGAAUAGGUAUGUCAUAGUUAUAUCUCCAGGGCAGAUGAAGGACAUUAUGCCCCAAGAAUGUGCUUAAGGAUAUAGUAUACAAAAGGGAGUGAGCAGGGAAAGGAGCUGUGCUCAAGAAGUUUUCAGGUCAAAGAACAGUCAUCAUGGCAGAUUUGUCUCAAAUGACAUUAGUCUGGUUCACACAACCUUUUUUCACAUGGGUCUUCCUUAUAUCCUAAAUGCUAUUUCAUUGCCAAAAUAAAUAUCAAAGUAAAUUAUAGGACACUGACUUAUAUAAAGAGAUUUAUCUAUUUUUUUCAGUACAGAAUAGAAUCUUUUUUUAAAAAAAUUGGGGGUGUAUCAGAAGGGUGUAUCAAAAUGUACUCAUUUCCAGGUAUUUGCACACAUACACGCAUAUUCACAUGCUUCCAGAAAUCUCAAGAUACUCCUAGGAGUUACUGUGUGCUGCAAUGUGAUGUUGCAAAAAUACCAGUGCUCUAUCAAUAACACUUUGAACACUAGUGGCAUUAUAUGCAUUUGCACGGCCUGAAGAGCUAACUGCUUAAACCCUGGUCCUCAGAGUCUCUGCCCAAAACAACUUCUUUUGUUAUUGCUUUAUCCAGUUUUUCUUUCAUCUUUAGUUUCCCCUUUUAUUUUGUAUUGUUAAAUUAUACUUCAGAGAAUUCUUAAGUAUAAUGUUUUCACUGCUGUCCUGUUUUGAUGCCACCCCAGAUCUACUCACUAUACAAGGACUGCAUACAUCCAUGCCCUGCUGCAGUCUUUUAUUUGCUUUUGAGCAAACCGACAGACUUAUAUUUCAACACCAUUUUUGGAUGAGUGAACAGGCCAUACUGAAGGACUCCUGUUGAAUGAUCUAAUUUUGUGACUUCUAGUUCACAAGUGAUAUUAAUGAGAAGCUCCAUUAAGCAGGGUGUGAAGGAAUGGUCAAGCUGUCCAAUUGCUAAAAAUCCUAGGCUGAAUCUGCCAUGCAGAUUCUUUAGCACUGAAGACUGGAACAUAGUCAUGGUGUUUUCUCUAAAGGUUAUAGUCCCACAGCAAAGACAGAAAAAUGACCUGUGGUCAAUUGUAUAUAGUUUUGGGAUUGUGUUUCAAAAGAGGAUCUGUCUUACACUGAAUUCCUAGAUGACUUCUGUGUUGCUUUGUAGUUGAAGUUGGAAAAAAUUCUCAGAAGCCUAAAAACUUUUCUGACAUUAUUUUAGUUGACAAAUAGUAUACAAGUGGUCCUGUUUUUAAAUGAGUAUUAUUUAAUCCACAUUAAACCAUCUUUGAGUUCUUACAUGAGUCUAAACUGUAUUAAAGUCAAAAGUAAUGUUUAGGGAGGGUAAAAUCAUAAAUGUGAUUCAUAAAUACUUAAAAGAUCAACACUAGAUCUCCUAGUUGAAUAGAAAUCUCACUUAGAAUUGUAGUUUAUCUUUGAAAGAAAAACUUCUGGGAUUAAGAGUAAACCCGUUUUAGGAAAGAAAUCAAAUAUUAUGGAAUUUGAAAAUCUAAUUUGACAUAUAUUAGAUUAAUGCUCUGUAAAAUCCUAGAGUCUGAAUUCAGUUUACACAAUGUUUGACUUAAUUCUCUUAUUUCUUUUUCUCAUUUUUCCUUUGUUAUUUAUGUUUAAAUCUUGGUGAGUUUUCCUUGUAUGGGUUUAAACAUUCAGUACUGAAUUCUAAAGGAACAGGUCCCUCCCUGCCUUUUUUCAGUGAACUUUUGAGAAGCAAUGGUCAGGAAUUUGUGUGUGUGUGAAAUUACUCUUUUUAUGAAUAUAUAACCCCAAAAUUUCACCAAUGUAUAUGUUUUUUGCUUGCAAAUAAGUAGGGAUUUAAAAAUUUGGCACAUAAAGAACAAGGUUGAUAGAGGCCUUUUCAUAUAUUUGUAUCCCUAAUAUGUUUUUAUUUUUUAAAAAUAUGCUGCAUUUGAUUGAACUAAAUUUGAUUUAGGCUUGUGCCACACAACUAUAAUUCCUUCAAAAACAUGUCAAUAUUGCAAUAUAUUUAAGAUGAUGUCAGCAACAAUUCCUUCUUUAUUUAGAGUAAUGUAAUCUGAAACUAUCAACUUUUUCUACUUUCAUGAGCUUUUGACUUUCAUACCAUAAUGCAUGAAAUAAUGCAUUUUAUUUAAAGCUUUUGGUAAAAUGUCCAUCACUGGAGGGAAAAUUUUUAUUUAAAUAUGUUCCUUCCAUUGAAAUCAGCUUUUCUCCCAGUAUCUUUGUUUCUUUUAAUAUUCUAAACCUUUUGAGUUACUUUGGUUUAAUUAGUUAUCUCCUCAUUUAAAAAUUAACAUAAUGAUCCCUCUUUUGGUCAAAGAAUUGAACUAAUCAGUGUGAUUAAGGUGGGGAAGAAAAUAUCCAAUGAUAUUGCACCCACAUUACCUUAUCGAUUCUCUUCAGAUAGACGUGAUUAUGCGACAUGUUGAAUAGUAGAUCUGGGCCAAAGGGAAGAAGGAAUAAUAUUGGAAGUAUGUGAAAAAAAAAAA